AUACGGAGGGGGUUACCGUUGUUCGGAAUUACUGGGCGUAAAGCGCACGUAGGCGGACUGGAAAGUUGGGGGUGAAAUCCCGGGGCUCAACCCCGGAACUGCCUCCAAAACUUCGAAUCUAGAGAUCGAGAAAGGUGAGUGGAAUUCCAAGUGUAGAGGUGAAAUUCGUAGAUAUUUGGAGGAACACCAGUGGCGAAGGCGGCUCACUGGCUCGAUACUGACGCUGGGGUGCGAAAGCGUGGGGAGCAAACAGGAUUAGAAAUCCUAGUAGUCC
This 274-nucleotide ribosomal RNA is filed under the name uncultured bacterium. RNAcentral describes it as "partial 16S ribosomal RNA". It matches the Rfam family "Bacterial small subunit ribosomal RNA", at positions 523 to 796 of the family's 1533-position model. The record is from RNAcentral.